Non-coding RNA from Jatropha curcas, 550 nucleotides. NCBI's taxonomy places the organism in Eukaryota, Viridiplantae, Streptophyta, Magnoliopsida, Malpighiales, Euphorbiaceae. The record is from RefSeq and is a predicted model, not a curated record.
UUGUCACCCGCUUCAAGCUAAUUCACCCCUACUGGCUACUUCCCUACACAGUUCUUUAUUAUUUAAAAUUAAAAUGAAUAAAAGUCCCCUCCCAGAAAAGCAUUAUUAACGUCCUUUGACUGAAGACUUCUGAUGUAUAUCCACAAAUCCUUGCCACACAUAGGGGUGGCCACGGCUCAUGUUGUCGUUCCAAUGACUUUCUUAAAUUUAUUUUAAAAUUUGCUUGUGGUCAAUGAAGUUUCGAAUGGGAAAAAUAGCAGGUUGAGAGUUCAUGUUUCCUCUGAAUUGAUGUGUGAAAAUAACAGGGAACUGCUGAGGAGCCUAAGGCUAUGAAUCCAUCAACUUAAGCUUUUUUCCUGUGUCCUAUUUGCUGAAGGGUUUAGUAGAUUCUUGUGAAUAUUACUGGUUAUUUAAUAACUUUAAGUUUCCAAGGUUCUCCUAGCGAAGAUCGGAACUUAGGAGUGAUGCUGAUGAUACAGAGACAGAUGAGGCAUCCUUUUCUGGCCAAGAAGAUUCUAAUGAUUCAUGAUAUUCUUUGAAUGGGCUAAGG